CUUAUUUUCAGAAACUUCAUUCAGCGAUGUGAGCUAUGGAACUUUUGUUGAGCAACUAAGAACAGAGAGCGAUUCAAGAAAUUUCAGCGAAGCUUUUACUGAGGAAAACAAAAUCUCUAGGACUACGAAUCUCUUGGAUAAAGAAGCUGUUGGUGAAGCUCGUUGAGAUAAACAAUAACGAACAACAAGCUCGUUCUUCUUGGUGAAGUUUUUGAGGUUCGACCACGAAUUCGUCUUAAAGAAGACACAAAGAUAUAAGAAGUCAACUCUUGGUAAAGUAUAACUGUAGAAGAAUCGGUUAGAAACCUCUCUGUGUUCUUGUCUCAAUGUCGCUGCCCCAAAAAGUCUGUUGCAUUGUGGUGUCACUACUUAAGUUUUGUUCAAGAGCACGACCAAUCAGAUUGUACACUUUCUGCAGCUGGAAUUUCAAAGCUUUAUUGUGGACAAUUAGUGAUUUUUUAGCUCUAGCAAUGCUUUUUGGAUGGAGCACCAAGGGGAGAUGGUCAUGCACCACCUGUAAUCAUAAUAUCCCAAUAUCUCAAACAUAGUCGUAAGAUGUAUUACUUAGGUCAUCGGACAUUUUACCUCCUGAUCAUCCAUUCAGAAGAGAUAAAAAAUCAUUUAAUGGUAAAAAGGAGCAUAAAGUUGCACCUACUCCAUUAUCAGGUGCACAAAUUCUUGAAGAGCUUUGUGUAUUCAAUAACGUAUUUGAAAAGAACAAAAAGAAAAGAAAACGGAAGAAUGAUGGUGUAUGGAAAAAUUCAUAUUUUUUGAGUUGCCGUUUUGGGCAACAAAUAAAUUGAGGCACAAUCUUGAUGUGAUGCACAUAGAGAAGAAUAUUUAUUACAGUGUGCUUGAGUCUUUAUUGGAUAUACUUGAAAAGUCCAAAGAUCAUAUAAAUUCUCUCUAUGACUUGUAUGAAAUGGGGAUAAGCUUCAACCUCUAAAAGAUUGUGAUACAAGAAAUAUCCAUCUAGCUAAAACUUGUUUCUCUAUGACACCAGAUGAGAAAAAUUAAUUUUGCACCGUCCUAAAAGAUGCCAAAUUACCAAAAGGGUGUGAGUCUAAUAUAUCAAGUCGUGUACAAAUUGAAGAGAUGAAAGUAUCAGGAUAAAAAAGUCAUGAUGCUCAUUUCAUAAUGCAUUUAGAUCCAUAUUUAGCAAUGUUAUAAGAAAAGGCGAUCUUGAUAAGAUGAAAGUAGAAAUCGUAGAUAUUGAAUGCGAGCUUGAAAAGAUCUUAAGGCUUAAUCACUUCUAUCAUAAUCACAUUAUGUGUAGUCAAUACUAAAUCUAGUUUGAAUGUGUAACCUUCUAGAUUAAUCACUUCUCUGGGCUGCCUUCCCAAGGAGGUUACUAUACUUAAAUCUCAAAUCCUCCCAU
Solanum lycopersicum (tomato) is the source of this 1378-nucleotide long non-coding RNA. RefSeq lists it as uncharacterized. NCBI's taxonomy places the organism in Eukaryota, Viridiplantae, Streptophyta, Magnoliopsida, Solanales, Solanaceae. The record is from RefSeq and is a predicted model, not a curated record.